GAGGUAUCUGUGAGAAUGUAAAAAUAAAUCAGUGAAAAAGAAGAAAUAGUUUAUCUCAUGAACAUCUCUGCCAGUGCAGUCCUUCCUAUAAUAUGUGUUGUAAUAACUAUUCCAGGUGAUUUUUUCCUGCCAGCGGAGAGGUGUUUCCAUGGAGUGUGCAAUCGCUGAGGGCCUGAGCAGCUCCCAGCAAGGGCCAGGGAUGGAUUCCAGGCCAUGGGAAAACCUGUAGAUUUGGAGGAGCCUUACAGCUGUCUCAUGGAGUUCUCACAGCAGCCCCUCAAGAUGUUUUCAGCAAGUGCGUGCCUGGCAGGAGCCGAGAAAGCCCUCAAUGUGACGCAGAGUAAUUUAAGUUUCUGUGCUGUCACUAAGGACCUAACCUGUGACACAGUGCCAACAAGUGUGGUUGCACUGAAAAUAUUCUUGACCAUUGAAAAUCCAAGGAACUCUAUGUUUAGGAAAGAAGUAAUUGGGAAAACUUCUGCUUGAAAAGGUGUGCAGGUAACUUUAUUCAUCUGUAUUUCAUGUAGACAUUUAACUGAGCAUCAGCAGACCCUGAAAUCAUCAACACGGUUUCUUUUCCUAUCAUUCUCCUGUGUUCUGGCCCACAUCACAUUGCCUGCUGUACGUUAAUCAGCUUUCCUAAGCUCUGGUUCAUAAAACUGCUAUGAACUGCAUGCUUCUGCAUCACCUGAUAUUUAGCAGGG
This 704-nucleotide long non-coding RNA is filed under the name Anas platyrhynchos platyrhynchos (common mallard). RNAcentral describes it as "lncRNA (ENSAPLG00000016452.1)". The record is from RNAcentral. Lineage: Eukaryota; Metazoa; Chordata; Aves; Anseriformes; Anatidae.